CGCUGCGCUUAUUUGUAGGUCGGCCUGCCCAAUGAUUAUUUGAAUGGCCGCAGUAUCUUGACUGUGCAAAGGUAGCAUAAUCAUUUGUCUCCUAAUUAGAGGCUGGUAUGAAUGGCUGGACGUGGGGAAGACUGUGUCAUUAAUUAAAUUAAACUUAAUCUUUAAGUCAAAAAGCUUAAAUGAAACAGCAGGACGAGAAGACCCCGUAGAUCUUUAUAUUGAAAUCUUUUUAAAGUUUAGUCGCCACUUAUAUAAAGGUUAGGAAUAUUUUGUUGGGGUGACAUGAAGUCUUAAACACUUCAUUCUUAAACAAUUAUAGUAGGGCUGAUGAUCCGGUACGCCGAUUAAAAAAUUAAGUUACCUCGGGGAUAACAGCGUAAUCUGCCUUAAGAGUCCUUAUCAAAUGGCAGGGUUGCGACCUCGAUGUUGGAUUAAGAUACUUCCCAUGGGCAGCCCCAUAGUGAAGAGGUCUGUUCGACCUAUAAAUUCUUACAUGACAU
RNAcentral lists this ribosomal RNA (500 nucleotides) under Pseudopannota vinckei. Its description in RNAcentral is "partial 16S ribosomal RNA". It matches the Rfam family "Bacterial large subunit ribosomal RNA", at positions 1830 to 2606 of the family's 2925-position model. Lineage: Eukaryota; Metazoa; Arthropoda; Insecta; Ephemeroptera; Baetidae. The record is from RNAcentral.